UUGAACGGUUUGGGAGAUUCGACGCCUGCUGUUUUAGGCAUUUGUAACAAUCCUGGUAGUAAUCCGACAAUCUAGUCUUUAGAGACAAAAGCAAAUGUGUAGCCUUUGCUUUAUUGUUGUCGUGACUAACGCCGUUGACUUGAAGGAAUCAGUUCAUUUAUGUCGCGCGUUUCAUCCGGACUACGAUAAACGUUUUAUAUGGUUUCCACACUGACUGGAGUGACCUUACUUGGGGCCAAAGCUGGACAUGUUCUAGUAUCUCAUUGAGAAGCUGCCAAGCUGGACGAGUCCAGUUCUGAGUGCUCGAGAACAGACCCUACAGAAGCCGUACACCUUGGACCCAUCCCGGAAGAGCAGUAUGUAGGCGAAGGAACUGAGAAACCAGUGCCUCUAGCGCCACACGCCCGCUACAGGGACGCAGAAACAAUCACAGAUGUUUGUAACAGCACAGAGCUCCCUGAGGUGGAGAUUAUCAGUCUGCUGGAGGAGCAGUUGCCGGUCUACAGGCUGAGGGCAGACUGUGUGUACGGCUAUGAGCACGACGACUGGAUCCACACACCUCUCAUCUCACCCGACACACGCAUAGACCUCACCUCUGAGCAGAUUGAGGAAACCCUCAACUACUUUUGUGAGUGA
This is a long non-coding RNA of Sinocyclocheilus grahami, 636 nucleotides long. RefSeq lists it as uncharacterized. The transcript is spliced from 3 exons. The record is from RefSeq and is a predicted model, not a curated record. NCBI's taxonomy places the organism in Eukaryota, Metazoa, Chordata, Actinopteri, Cypriniformes, Cyprinidae.